AAAACACCCUCAAGGAUGGGCACUGCACAGACUGUAACAACAAGGAACGUGGCUUUGCAUCCUCCCAGCAAGAAAGUCUACCACGGAUCCCACGCCACUCUGAUUUCGGCUCAGCCGAGAACUUGAAAUAACGGGCCCACUGCCUCUGCUCCACGAGGAUCCAUGCCAUCAUGGCACUUUGGGAGGCCUGUCACGAGUUACACAGGCCUAGGCUGCCCACGCCCCAGCUCAGCAGAAAAAGAGAAUUGCAAUCCAAGUCAGACAGAUCCUGCCUGGACUCUCCGCAGAGAGCCUGGAGAGUCUGACCAGCAAAGAAACAGCAAUCUUCCUACCUACCCCACUCUCAAUCCCCCACCCCAAUCCAGGCUCCCGAAGAAGAAAAACAAACAACAACAGAGCAGG
This 402-nucleotide non-coding RNA is filed under the name Pan troglodytes (chimpanzee). The record is from RNAcentral. Lineage: Eukaryota; Metazoa; Chordata; Mammalia; Primates; Hominidae.